Molecule: non-coding RNA, 144 nt
Organism: Paramuricea clavata
Lineage: Eukaryota; Metazoa; Cnidaria; Anthozoa; Malacalcyonacea; Plexauridae
Source: the annotation of a GenBank genome assembly
AAGGUUGUUCCAACAAGUCCGAUACAGUCAUGAUAUAACAAUAUUGUUGUUGGCUGUAACAAAUAUAAGGUUGUAACCUUGUGUGCUCAACCUUGUAACAUUCUUGUUAUAUCAUGACUGUAUCAGACUUGUUAGAACAACCUU